GAUGAACGCUGGCGGCGUGCCUAAUACAUGCAAGUCGAGCGAACGGACGAGAAGCUUGCUUCUCUGAUGUUAGCGGCGGACGGGUGAGUAACACGUGGAUAACCUACCUAUAAGACUGGGAUAACUUCGGGAAACCGGAGCUAAUACCGGAUGAUAUUUUGAACCGCAUGGUUCAAAAGUGAAAGACGGUCUUGCUGUCACUUAUAGAUGGAUCCGCGCUGCAUUAGCUAGUUGGUAAGGUAACGGCUUACCAAGGCAACGAUGCAUAGCCGACCUGAGAGGGUGAUCGGCCACACUGGAACUGAGACACGGUCCAGACUCCUACGGGAGGCAGCAGUAGGGAAUCUUCCGCAAUGGGCGAAAGCCUGACGGAGCAACGCCGCGUGAGUGAUGAAGGUCUUCGGAUCGUAAAACUCUGUUAUUAGGGAAGAACAUAUGUGUAAGUAACUGUGCACAUCUUGACGGUACCUAAUCAGAAAGCCACGGCUAACUACGUGCCAGCAGCCGCGGUAAUACGUAGGUGGCAAGCGUUAUCCGGAAUUAUUGGGCGUAAAGCGCGCGUAGGCGGUUUUUUAAGUCUGAUGUGAAAGCCCACGGCUCAACCGUGGAGGGUCAUUGGAAACUGGAAAACUUGAGUGCAGAAGAGGAAAGUGGAAUUCCAUGUGUAGCGGUGAAAUGCGCAGAGAUAUGGAGGAACACCAGUGGCGAAGGCGACUUUCUGGUCUGUAACUGACGCUGAUGUGCGAAAGCGUGGGGAUCAAACAGGAUUAGAUACCCUGGUAGUCCACGCCGUAAACGAUGAGUGCUAAGUGUUAGGGGGUUUCCGCCCCUUAGUGCUGCAGCUAACGCAUUAAGCACUCCGCCUGGGGAGUACGACCGCAAGGUUGAAACUCAAAGGAAUUGACGGGGACCCGCACAAGCGGUGGAGCAUGUGGUUUAAUUCGAAGCAACGCGAAGAACCUUACCAAAUCUUGACAUCCUUUGACAACUCUAGAGAUAGAGCCUUCCCCUUCGGGGGACAAAGUGACAGGUGGUGCAUGGUUGUCGUCAGCUCGUGUCGCGAGAUGUUGGGUUAAGUCCCGCAACGAGCGCAACCCUUAAGCUUAGUUGCCAUCAUUAAGUUGGGCACUCUAAGUUGACUGCCGGUGACAAACCGGAGGAAGGUGGGGAUGACGUCAAAUCAUCAUGCCCCUUAUGAUUUGGGCUACACACGUGCUACAAUGGACAAUACAAAGGGCAGCGAAACCGCGAGGUCAAGCAAAUCCCAUAAAGUUGUUCUCAGUUCGGAUUGUAGUCUGCAACUCGACUACAUGAAGCUGGAAUCGCUAGUAAUCGUAGAUCAGCAUGCUACGGUGAAUACGUUCCCGGGUCU
RNAcentral lists this ribosomal RNA (1372 nucleotides) under uncultured bacterium. RNAcentral describes it as "bacterial SSU rRNA". It matches the Rfam family "Bacterial small subunit ribosomal RNA", at positions 28 to 1381 of the family's 1533-position model. The record is from RNAcentral.